GUUGAUGCCAUGCUUCCAAGAAAAGCUUCUAAGCUCAGGUAACCAGGAACCGUACCCCAAACCGACACAGGUGGUUGGGUAGAGAAUACCAAGGCGCUUGAGAGAACUCGGGUGAAGGAACUAGGCAAAAUGGCACCGUAACUUCGGGAGAAGGUGCGCCGGUGAGGGUGAAGGACUUGCUCCGUAAGCCCAUGCCGGUCGAAGAUACCAGGCCGCUGCGACUGUUUAUUAAAAACACAGCACUCUGCAAACACGAAAGUGGACGUAUAGGGUGUGACGCCUGCCCGGUGCCGGAAGGUUAAUUGAUGGGGUUAGCUAACGCGAAGCUCUUGAUCGAAGCCCCGGUAAACGGCGGCCGUAACUAUAACGGUCCUAAGGUAGCGAAAUUCCUUGUCGGGUAAGUUCCGACCUGCACGAAUGGCGUAACGAUGGCGGCGCUGUCUCCACCCGAGACUCAGUGAAAUUGAAAUCGCUGUGAAGAUGCAGUGUAUCCGCGGCUAGACGGAAAGACCCCGUGAACCUUUACUAUAGCUUUGCACUGGACUUUGAAUUUGCUUGUGUAGGAUAGGUGGGAGGCUUUGAAGCGUGGACGCCAGUCUGCGUGGAGCCAACCUUGAAAUACCACCCUGGCAACUUUGAGGUUCUAACUCAGGUCCGUUAUCCGGAUCGAGGACAGUGUAUGGUGGGUAGUUUGACUGGGGCGGUCUCCUCCUAAAGAGUAACGGAGGAGUACGAAGGUGCGCUCAGACCGGUCGGAAAUCGGUCGUAGAGUAUAAAGGCAAAAGCGCGCUUGACUGCGAGACAGACACGUCGAGCAGGUACGAAAGUAGGUCUUAGUGAUCCGGUGGUUCUGUAUGGAAGGGCCAUCGCUCAACGGAUAAAAGGUACUCCGGGGAUAACAGGCUGAUACCGCCCAAGAGUUCAUAUCGACGGCGGUGUUUGGCACCUCGAUGUCGGCUCAUCACAUCCUGGGGCUGAAGCCGGUCCCAAGGGUAUGGCUGUUCGCCAUUUAAAGUGGUACGCGAGCUGGGUUUAGAACGUCGUGAGACAGUUCGGUCCCUAUCUGCCGUGGACGUUUGAGAUUUGAGAGGGGCUGCUCCUAGUACGAGAGGACCGGAGUGGACGAACCUCUGGUGUUCCGGUUGUCACGCCAGUGGCAUUGCCGGGUAGCUAUGUUCGGAAUAGAUAACCGCUGAAAGCAUCUAAGCGGGAAACUAGCCUCAAGAUGAGAUCUCACUGGGACCUUGAGUCCCCUGAAGGGCCGUCGAAGACUACGACGUUGAUAGGUUGGGUGUGUAAGCGCUGUGAGGCGUUGAGCUAACCAAUACUAAUUGCCCGUGAGGCUUGACCAU
RNAcentral lists this ribosomal RNA (1352 nucleotides) under Pseudomonas poae. Its description in RNAcentral is "bacterial LSU rRNA". It matches the Rfam family "Bacterial large subunit ribosomal RNA", at positions 1593 to 2925 of the family's 2925-position model. Lineage: Bacteria; Pseudomonadati; Pseudomonadota; Gammaproteobacteria; Pseudomonadales; Pseudomonadaceae. The record is from RNAcentral.